Molecule: ribosomal RNA, 1295 nt
Filed under: metagenome
Description: bacterial LSU rRNA
Rfam family: Bacterial large subunit ribosomal RNA
Source: RNAcentral
AAAAAGCUGUGUGUAUUGAUUAGGCGCCCGUACCGCAAACCGACACAGGUAGAUGAGGAGAGAAUCCUAAGGCCAACGGGAGAAGGGUUGUUAAGGAACUCGGCAAAUUGACCCCGUAACUUCGGGAUAAGGGGAGCCUCCUACGGGAGGCCGCAGUGAAUAGGCCCAAGCAACUGUUUACCAAAAACACAGGUCUCUGCUAAAUCGAAAGAUGACGUAUAGGGGCUGACGCCUGCCCGGUGCCGGAAGGUUAAGAGGAGAGCUUAGCGCAAGCGAAGGUUCGAAUUGAAGCCCGGUAAACGGCGGCCGUAACGAUAACGGUCCUAAGGUAGCGAAAUUCCUUGUCAGGUAAGUUCUGACCCGCACGAAUGGCGUAAUGAUUUGGGCACUGUCUCAACAGCCCGCCCGGCGAAAUUGUAGUACUGGUGAAGAUGCCAGUUACCCGCAACUAGACGGAAAGACCCCAUGGAGCUUUACUGUAGCCUAAUACUGAAGAUCGGUAAUGCAUGUACAGGAUAGGUGGGAGCCAGCGAAACCCGGGCGUCAGCUCGGAUGGAGGCAACCUUGGAAUACCACCCUUGUAUUGCUGGUUUUCUAACCUGCGGCCAUGAAUCUGGUCGGGGGACACUGUUAGGUGGGCAGUUUGACUGGGGCGGUCGCCUCCAAAAGCGUAACGGAGGCGCUCAAAGGUUGGCUCAGCACGGACGGAAAUCGUGCAUAGAGUGCAAACGCAUAAGCCAACUUGACUGCGAGACCGACGGGUCGAGCAGGUACGAAAGUAGGAGUUAGUGAUCCGGUGGUAUGUGAGUGGAAAUGCCAUCGCUCAACGGAUAAAAGCUACCCUGGGGAUAACAGGCCGAUCUCCCCCAAGCGUCCACAGCGACGGGGAGGUUUGGCACCUCGAUGUCGGCUCGUCACAUCCUGGGGCUGUAUUCGGUCCCAAGGGUUCGGCUGUUCGCCGAUUAAAGUGGCACGCGAGCUGGGUUCAGAACGUCGUGAGACAGUUCGGUCCCUAUCUGUUGCGGGCGCAGGAGAUUUGAAGGGAGCUGUCCUUAGUACGAGAGGACCGGGAUGGACAGACCUCUGGUGCACCAGUUGUCGUGCCAACGGCACAGCUGGGUAGCUACGUCUGGACGAGAUAAACGCUGAAAGCAUCUAAGUGUGAAACUCCCCCUAAGAUAAGAUCUCCCAUCCAUUAGGAGUAAGGGACGACAGAGACUAUGUCGUUGAUAGGUCGAAGUGUAAGUGCAGUAAUGCAUUGAGCUGACCGAUACUAAUAACCCGAGGGCUUGACC